This 1159-nucleotide long non-coding RNA is filed under the name Homo sapiens (human). Its description in RNAcentral is "HSALNT0114860". Lineage: Eukaryota; Metazoa; Chordata; Mammalia; Primates; Hominidae. The record is from RNAcentral.
CAGGUUCAUAGGAAGUGAAGAUGGUUUCCUAUCUGCUGAUACUCUCUGGAAAACUCAAACCACUUUAUUAUUAAUUUUUCCAAGGCAGCUAUACAUAUACUUGCUUGUGAUCCUGUACUUAAGCCUAGUCUUUGGUAAGCAGGUAUGCAAAGAUGACUAAAGUAAGUGGCAAAUACAGCAGGUGAGAAAGCUAGAACAAGAGCAGUGUGGACUAGCAGAGAAUCCAGGAAGAACUAAAGCUUACAUGGAUGUCCAUAGUGAAAAGCCACAGGAGAUGGCCACCUGAACCCAAUGCAUCUCUUAUAAUUAAUUUCAAAUAAGAAUGUUAGAAAACACAUUUCUGUUCUCUGGAACAAUGCUAUAUUGGACGAAGCUAGCCAACAAAUCUGUUAAUAAUUAUAAAAUACCUGAAGCACUUUUUAUUUGCAAUAAAACAUAUACAAAUGCUUUGUAUUAUUUUAACCAAUAAAAAGGAAAGAAUUUAAAUAGAUUUUUAUGUACCCUGAUAUUUAAACCUACUCACACUGCUAAUUUGGACCUCAAAUUUUGACUUGAAACUCAGUCUUCAUUUUUUCUUUUUUGACCUCUAUGUAACUUCCUCUUUGGUCUACAUCUCUCCUGGUUUAUGAGGCAGAGUUUCAGACAGAUGACCUGAGCUGGCAGAUCUGCUUAAUGUGGUCCUGUAAGGUGUUUAAAUGCUCAGUGAAAGGUUGAAGAAUCUUCCAGAAAGAAGAAAGGAGCCUCAGAGACAGAGACCUGUCUCCCCAGAGGAGAUGGAGACAGAGUGGAGCCUGACUGCCUGGAGUCGUUCUGCUGGGAGAAAGCCUGGUUGCUGUGGCACAUGCGUGGCAGGCUGGAAAUGAUACCCUGUGUAGGCCUAACUCUACCAAGAGGAGCAAAAACUGGACACUGUGUAACUUCACAGAAUUAGCAACACGGACCCGUUACACAUGGGCAAUGCUAAGCCAAUGGGAGGAGUGGAAAGAUCAUCUGAGGAAAAUAGCUGUGCUGGUUGGGGUAGUGGCUGGCUGGUUCAAGGCUGUGCUGCCUUGAAAACAAUAAAGGUUUCACUUGAACAAAUGGUAAAUUUUCCUGUCCUUGAAAUGUUUUUUAUGCCACUUUUAAUCACUAAGUGGUGUCAGAAAACAUCAUUCAUUUU